CAGAGUUGAAAAACUCCCAACCCUUUGUGAACCUUACCUUUAAUUGUUGCUUCGGCAGGCAGCCCCAGGGCGGGGCUGUGGCCUGUACAGGUGCCUGCCGAAGGUAUUCAAGCUCUGUUUUAAUAGUAACAUCUGAGAUAAAAACAAAAUAAGUCA
RNAcentral lists this unclassified non-coding RNA (156 nucleotides) under uncultured Sordariomycetes. Its description in RNAcentral is "sequence contains ITS1". The record is from RNAcentral. Lineage: Eukaryota; Fungi; Ascomycota; Sordariomycetes.